GGGCCCGCACAAGCGGUGGAGCAUGUGGUUUAAUUCGAUGAUACGCGAGGAACCUUACCAGGGCUUAAAUGCAGAACGACAGAGGUGGAAACACCUCCUUCUUCGGACGGUCUGCAAGGUGCUGCAUGGUUGUCGUCAGCUCGUGCUGUGAAGUGUCGGGUUAAGUCCCGCAACGAGCGCAACCCACGUCGUUAGUUGCCAGCAUUUAGUUGGGCACUCUAGCGAGACCGCCGGUGAUAAACCGGAGGAAGGUGUGGAUGACGUCAAGUCAUCAUGCCCCUUACAUCCUGGGCUACACACGUACUACAAUGCUACGGACAAAGGGCAGCAAACUCGCGAGGACAAGCA
RNAcentral lists this ribosomal RNA (348 nucleotides) under uncultured bacterium. RNAcentral's name for it is "bacterial SSU rRNA". It matches the Rfam family "Bacterial small subunit ribosomal RNA", at positions 917 to 1269 of the family's 1533-position model. The record is from RNAcentral.